Molecule: ribosomal RNA, 326 nt
Filed under: Dientamoeba fragilis
Lineage: Eukaryota; Parabasalia; Tritrichomonadida; Dientamoebidae
Description: SSU rRNA
Rfam family: Eukaryotic small subunit ribosomal RNA
Source: RNAcentral
UCAUAGAUUAAGCCAUGCAAGUGUAAGUUCAGGUAACUAAACUGCGAAUAGCUCAUUAACACACUCAUAAUCUACUUGGAAACAAUUUUUUAAAAAUUUUAAAUGGAUAGCAGGAGUAAUUCUCGUGCUAAUACAUGAAAUUUUAAUAAUCUCAAAUUAAAUCAGAUUAUUUUUAAUACCUUUUAAUAGGUAAUCCAAUCGAAUGAGUGACCUAUCAGGCCAGUACUUAGGGUCUUUACCUAAGUAAGCUAUCACGGGUAACGGGCGGUUACCGUCGUACUGCCGGAGAAGGCGCCUGAGAGAUAGCGACUAUAUCCACGGGUAGC